AAUGAUGUCAGAAGCCUGGAGGAACACCCGAGAGAUGGCGCCGGCGACCACUGCUGCAUGAUUCCUGUGACCGUCCCUGAGCUCUUGAAGGCCCAGAUGUUGACCUUGCUGGGAAAACUGCGGAUGCAGACGAUGCUGUUUCAUUCUUCGAGGCACCUCUUACGGUCACUGGCAUCUUGAAUGGUGCUGUGUAUACUCACCUGCCAAUCACUGUGGUCUGUGCAGCCAGCUGGCUGUAGCCAGUGUUGCGGGGUGAGAGUCAGAGGUGGGGGGGAAAGGAAAUAGAGGCUGAGGUCCCUGUGUGGAACUGGCCAGGGAUUGUUCCUGUGGACUGGGGCUGCCAAACUGACCUGCUUUGUCUUUCCAUGGGUGACUCAAUCCCGGCACACCAUCAGCUCUCAGUGGCCCUUGAGGUCUUCUUGGCCCAGCUGAUGAUUCUUCCUUCAUUGCACUGUCAGGAGGCUCAUCCCAUCCUACUGACUAAGCCAAGGAAACACUAAUCUCAUCCUUAUGCCCUGAAACGUUUCAUUUUUCAUUAUUCUUUGAAGGAUUUCAUUUACAAAACAUGUGCACUUUUUGCAAGUAGGAUCAACUAGGAAACUCCUCAGCUCAGGUAAGUUCUCUGAGGGCAGGGACUUUUAUCUGUUCUUUAAAAAAAAAGUUAGGGUUUCCCUGGUGGUCUAGUGGUUAGGAAUCUGCCUGUCAAUGCAGGGCACACAGGUUUGAUCCCUGGAUCCCCCAUGCCGCUGAGCAACUGAGCUCGUGAGCCACAAUUACUGAGUCCACGUGCUACAACUACUGAAGCCCGUGCCCAGCAACAAGGGAAGCCACGACAAUGAGAUGCCCUCACACUGCAACGAGGAGUAGCCCCGAUCACAGUAACUAGAGAAAGCCCACAGGCAGCAGCAAAGACCCAGCCCAGCCAAAAAUAAAAUAGAUUAAUAAAAAAAAUUUUUUGUGUGC
RNAcentral lists this long non-coding RNA (963 nucleotides) under Bos indicus x Bos taurus (hybrid cattle). RNAcentral describes it as "lncRNA (ENSBIXG00005028513.1)". The record is from RNAcentral. Lineage: Eukaryota; Metazoa; Chordata; Mammalia; Artiodactyla; Bovidae.